CAUGGUUUGGCGUUUGCUCCGUAGUUGACUGGAAAGCCCUGCAACGGGUGGUGGAAACAGCCCAGCACAUCACUGGUACCCAGCUCCCGGCCAUCGUAGACCUCCAGCACAAGCAGUGUCUGCACAGGGCCAAGAUAGCAAAAAAUAUCCGCACGGCUUCUUUUUGCCGCCGGCCCUAAGCUGUCGGCUAUAGGUGCGUCCUGCUGGCGGGGAUGAAACGUUUGCCGCCGAAUACGUCACUCCCAUUUCUUGCGAGAUGACGGCGGUCCGACUGCUUCAUUUUCUCUGGCGGUUGCCUCUAUGGUUGCCUCGGUCUAAUGGACCGCGGUCGUCCGGCGGCAAGACGCUUUUAAAUACAAGGCUAUACUCUCAAAAUCGACCGGCCAUGUUGGUUUUAGACACACAUUCGCAUCAGUUCGUCGCUCAAUCGCGAGUUGCAGCUUGCUAGCUAGCAAAGUCAUCGACUACCAUCGUUUAAAUACCUUGGCCAGAGCAUAACCGAUUAUCUUCACCCAAGAGACCUACUGUUGGUCAAUCGUUUUGGUUUUAAAGGUAAAUGCAUUGUUAGUCACAAUGUCUAGUUACUGGGCCAAAAGGAAAAUAAUAUUGAAAAGAGUUGAGAGGGACACACAGGACAUUCACUUGAAUCACUACAUACUACAGAAGUUGCAUUGAUUCCAGAAAACCAGGAAAAUGUUGAGCCAUCUGUAGACUUCAGAGUUGGUAUGUAAAAUGUAUUGCUGUGAUGCUUAAUUUGUGAUCCUGUAACUAAACUGUACACUUUGUUAGAUUUUCAAAUUUCUGUUCCCUCUUUCUCAGAACCAGGUUUCUCCCCAGUAAUCCAGACUCCACUUCACAGAGCCAAGAGUUUGAGUACAAGUAAAGUGAUGUUAUUUGUGACGUUUUUUGUCUUGGAAACUAUUGCUUCUAUUUAAGAUUAGGAAUCCUUUUAUCCAUAAGAUGUUUUUCAUUAGGGCACUUGACUUUCUGGAUAAAAGGUGUUGAGGUGUGUUGUACAUCAUUAGCUUUGAACAGUUCAAUUAUUGUUUCAUUACUCAAUAUGCAAUCUCUGCAGUGAAAUUAAAGCGGUUAUGUUUGUUCCCCCAGCUCGUCAAGUACUAAGCUUUACACCACCAGCAGCAAAUUUACCCUGGCAGCAUAUGGGUGAAAAGGCUGGAGGAGAAAGUCAUCGCUUUGUUAUUGGCCCUUGGACGCCCCUGGCAUCUCAUGUACAGCACAAAGUUUUCAGCUAUGAAGAUUUCCAGAGACUCCAGAAUGAAAACCAAGCUCUGAGGGAGGAGAACCAAGCCCUGAGGGAAUGCAAUGCACAAGCAGCUUCGGAUGACAGCGGCUCACUUCAAGAGCAGGUGAAGCAAGUAGGGACAAUGUUGAAGACGUUUGCUCUCACUGGGCAAUCAGGUGCGUUACCUGAAAGGAGCAUCUGACCGUGAAGGCAGAAAAAGGCGCCGCACAGCUGAGAGGGACCCACAGCCGACCCCUUAAACCUAGGCUGACUACUGGCACCCCAGCAUCACUGAACUUUCUUUAUCCUGCAGUCAGUAACAUCAAGAAGCCAGAAGUGCCAGACUACACUCACCAAAUGCACCCUGUUUUAUUUUGUAUCUUUAGUAUUGGCUUAUUUCAUUCCGUCUUAACGAUUCUAUUAUAGUUUGUAAAUCUUAUUUCAUACCUCUAAAACGUGAUAUUGCACAUUACCUGGUACCAAAUAUUCUACUUACUCUGUUUUUAGCAUUUUUCAUUCUGUCACAGUGCUUAAGUGUUAUUCUAUUGUUAAAUAUAGCUUGUAAAUCCUUGUGCCACAGGUCAGCAUUGCAGUUAUAAUGGUCUGUUCUACUACUGUUUUUACCUCCGUAUUUUUAUAUAAAUAUAUAUGUCAAGUUGUCUAUCACAGAUACAAGAGACACAGAUCUUAUUGCAGCAUGGUGUAAAUCUUGUGCUUCAGGUCAGCAUUGCAAUUAUAAUGGUCUAUUCUACUCUAGAGCUUUACUCUAAAUUAUUACCACUUUUCCUAUUGUUAGAAAUGGCUUGAAAAUGUGAUGUUAUACCUCGAUUUAUUUGGUAUCCUGCACAUUCUUUGGUACCAAAUAUCCUCAUUACUUUUUAUGUUUACUGGUAAUCAUU
This is a long non-coding RNA of Esox lucius (northern pike), 2142 nucleotides long. NCBI's taxonomy places the organism in Eukaryota, Metazoa, Chordata, Actinopteri, Esociformes, Esocidae. The record is from Ensembl.